AGACCCCAGCCAGCCGGUCCGCGGGGUUCCCGAGUCAGGAAGAAGGGUGGCGGCCUUGGCUGUCGCCCCUCGCAAUCGCGAGCACCUCGCAGAUCGCGAGGUUUUGAGUGCUCCUCUCAGGAGGAGGAGGAGGAGACCCACGUGACUAGACCUAUAUUGUCAAAGACAAGCCAGAAGAACCUAGAAAGGGUAGGAGGAAAGUUUUUCUCCUCCCCCAAUAGUUGGUGUAUCCGGCAGAAUCCUUCACUGGCUGGAAAAGCUGUUUUCCGAAGACUGCUGCAGAUAAAGAGAUCCUGGGACAUUUGACAAAAGCUGGCAGAAGACAGUGGCUUCCGAAGUGACACAUCUAGUGGCCCAUGGAGCAAGUUCUGUUCAGAAACCACGCGGCAAUGGAGGAGACCAUCUACAGGCUGUGCUUGCAUCCAGACCGUUCAGGUGUAAUCAGCAGCAACACAGCGGAGAUGAAUGACUUUGGAAAUAAUGGGAUCUGACAGCACCUUCUAUGCUUCCUGCUACAUUCUUUCUGCAACACUCCCAGAAACCAAAAAGCCCUUAGGAGCACCCAGGGAAUUUCACACGUCUAUAAGAAGAACAGUCUGUUAAUUGGGCUUGGUUAUUCCAUGGGGAUAUCCUUCCACAGAGUAUGUGCAUCAUGGAAGAACAUACAGCAUUAUCCAGUCCAGAGCCCUCUGGCUGAGCUUGCCAGAAGAAAGAGCACCCUGCCCUGAAUAAGGGACGAGGAUGGGCCCCCAGGGGGAACUGAAUUCACCCAGAAUCCUCUUCAGCUCGGGUCCUGAGGAUUUUAUCAAGAGCCUUCUGUAUACAGAGUGUAAGAUCAGAGACUGUUAAUAUUUCUUUCGCAUGCCGGCAGGGAAGACAAGCUCUAAAACCUUAAGAGAUGUUAUUGCAUCCGAUCCCACAAACUAAAUAUUUGUCAAGAGACAAGCCGUUCAAAGCAUAGAACUUGUUGAAGUCAAAUCCAGACACGUGGCAUAAUUAAGAAGAUACCCGUGUGUCUCCAAAUCAUGCAUGUUCAUUUGUCCAUCUAAACACUUGCCAAAAAGGAAUAGCCUAAUCUCAAGCUUUUGUCAAGUGAAAACACUUAAUGUUGCUUUUUAAAAGUAGCUCGUCCUUGAUGGGGAAAGUACAGAUAUGGUUUCUUCUCUCAUGGUCUUGGUCAUCACAUAUGUAAUGUGACAUAGACCAGAAAACAAAUAGAUUCUGCAAGCAGAGCAGAGAAACACAGGGAAAAUCUUGUUCGGUCAUCGUUAAGAGAUUUGGGGGUUUGGGGUUUUGUGUUUAAGGUGCAGACUAAUGGAGUGACGAUCCUUUGAUGUGUAAUGUAAGGGGUACCAGUGAAAGGAUGCCUAGUCCAAAAGGUUUUCUCCACAUUCAGAUCACAGCGCCUGAAAGUCACUAUACACUUGGGGAGCCAGAGUACCUCCCAAGUUUCGGUCUCGAAUAGUCUCAAUGGGAAAGGUAAUUCAUGAGCCCGUUCAUCAGUGCGAUCAUCCUGUGUAGGACUUUCCGUGGCUUAUGUGUCUCUUUUCAGAGUCCCACGAGUUUGAGAUUGGAGGCAGGAGGACACAUCUAAAGCAUGAGAUUUUCUUUGUGAAGAAGGACUGAAAAAAUAAAGAAAACUAGUCAUUUGAGGCCCAUUAUGUUCCAGGCAUUGUACCUGCAUCAUCGAGAUCCAUUUAUUGAGUAACCCCUAGCAACCCAGGGACACCGAUGCUUUUAUCAGCCAAGCUUCUUGUCGUGGAAGGGAACACAAGCAAACUUAAAAGUUUCUUUUUGCUUUUUUUAAGUUAGAUAAUUAAAAAGUCUAGAAGUUUCUUCUUUCAUGUGUAACUGGAUCUGGGUUCUUACACUGUGCUUUCAGAAUCUCUUAGCUUUUUUCCCCUUCAGAGUUAUCCUUAUGAGAUCUCUGGUUUCAUGGCCUCUGUUUUGUCUUUAUUUUUUUAUUUUUAGGGCUGUACUCCUGGCAUAUGGAGGUUGCAAGGCUAGGGGCUGCAUCAGAGCUACCGCUGCCAGCCUACACCACAGCUCACGAAAGUGCCAGAUCCUUAACCCACUGAGCGAGACCAGAGAUCGAACCCUCAACCUCAUGUUUCCUAGUUGGAUUCAUUUCCGCUGCAUCACAACAGGAACUCCCCAAAUGGAACUUAGAGCAGACCUGAAAUGGCUCUGCUCAGCCCUGUGUUCACCUCUGUAGUGGGGCCUUCUUACAGCGUUACAAGAAUCCAUGAAGGUGCUAGAAUACCUGAGUCGAGUGGGUACAGAGUAAAGCAUAUAGUAUUGUGUUAGUGAUGAAAUGUCAUCAUGAUGAAAUAUCAUCUCAUUUUCAUGUGAUGAGAGACAAGAAGACAGGAGGCUGUGUUAGUUUCUGCCUGCUGCUGUAACAAAUUACCAUAAAUCUACUGACUUCAAGCAACACAGAUACACUGCUUCAUGGUUCUGUGGGUCAUACGUCUAAAGUGGGUCUCAUCAGGCCAAAAACAAGGUGUCCACAGGGAUGCGCUCCUUCUCCAGGCUCUUGAGUCCAUUUCCUUGUUCAUGUAGGUGUUGGCAGAAUUCAUAAGGGAAUUAUGCGGGAAAUAACACUGCAGAGGAAUCCUGAACAAUGGAUUGAGCCCAGCUAAGACGUCAGACAUUCCUUUUUCCCUUGUGUUCUUUGAACAUGGUGAUAGCAUUUACAGGCUUGGUGGUAAAGAACAGAAAAUAACUGGUGAGAAUAAAGAAGCCUUAUUUUUUUUAUUAUGGCAGCUUGCUAUUUUUGUAGCAUGGUAACUGAGUUGAACACAAAGUACAGUAACUAAUCUCUCCUUCUUCCUGGAUGAGUGAGCAGGUGAUGAAAUAUUGAUGUCGGCAUCCUUGAACACAUCCAAAUGAACAGUGUUUGGCUACUGCUUCCGUUUGAAAUGGUGCUGUGUUUGGGUUGUGGCUCAAAGCUUUGAAGGGCUGCUCGGCAUCUCCUUUCUUCCGUGGAGCUCUUAGCAUUCAGAGCGGUCAAAUACUAGUUAAGUUGAGUCUUGCUUGCCCGUCUUCAGUCAUCUUUGUUUGAAUCCAAGGUGGUGUGUUUUUUUUGUUUAUUUAUUUUUUCUAAUGGUUUUCAUCUGAUAUUCAUCAAGGGCAGUGAGUAGCUAGAGCUAUGCCAUUCAAGAAAGGAUAUUCUAUCAGAGAAGGUGCAUUUUGGAGUUCCUGCUGUGGUUCAACAGGUUAAGAACCAGCCAUUGCCUCUGUAAGGAUGCGGGGUUUGACCUUAACUGGUCUCGUGAUAUGGAUUAAGGAUCCAGGGUUGCUGCAAGCUGCAGCCUCCCUUGCAGUUAUGGCUUGGAUCCAUUAUUGCUGUGGCUAUGGUGUUGGCUGUUAAAAGACAAUAAAUAAAGAAAUAAAGAAAGAAAGAAAGAAAGAAAGAAAGAAAGAAAGAAAGAAAGAAAGAAAGAAAGAAAGAAAGAAAGAAAGAAAGAUGGUGCAUUGCUGAACCAGAGCUCUGUCAUAACCAUCGUUUAGGCCCGCUGCUGGAAAAAGAGAAUCAAGUCUCAAAUCAUGCCUUUUUAGUUAUGCCCUCUUGUAUUAUAGAUGUAGGACAGUAUUGUUUUGUACCUCUGUGAAUAUAAACUAUCUCGUACUUGCUUUGUGUUGUGUAGUAAUGACAACCGUACUUGAUCAGAGCUGUUUUUAAUGUUAUUCUAGAAUGUUUUCUUUCCAGGUGAUUGAGAAGCUAACAAAACAAAUAAACGAACAAACAAAAAAAUGGUGCCAGGUACCACAACAGUCACAGAAGGAAAAAAAAAAAAAAGAAUUCAUAAGAUGUAUUAUCGUAGGACCGAGGUCCCCAUUACCUUGCUAGCUGUUGGUCAUGGUCACUCUUCAGCUUCUGGAGGCCGCCUGGAUUUGCCCUCUCCUGGCCUCUCAUCUUCAGGGUCCGCAGCAGUGGGUCAAAUCCCCAUCUCAUUUUGAAUCUCUCCUGCCUCUAGUUCCAUUGGAUUUCUCUCACCAGAGGUGGGAAAGAGUCUUUAUUUAACUACACUAGCCACCCCCCCACCCCACCCCCCGUUAUCUAUAGUCCCACUUUCCAUGGUUCGUUACCCAAGGUCAGUCCCAGUGAGAAAUAUUAAGUGGAAAAUUCCAGAAAUAAACAGUCCAUAAGUUUUGAAUUGCACACUGUUCCGAGUAGCAUGAUGUAAUCUUGAGCUGUCCCACUGUCUUGCUCAGGAUGUGAAUCAUCCCUUUGUCCAGCUUGUCCUGAGCGUGGCUUAGAAACGCUCCGUUAUCAGAUCCACUGCCGCGGUUAUCAGAUUGACUGUCGAAGUCUCGCAGUGCUUGUGUGCAAGGCCCCCUUGGUUUAUUGAAUCAAGGCCCCGAGGUGCAAGACUAGGGAUGCUGGCGACUCGGGUGUGCCCAAGAGAGGCCAUCACGUGCUUCCUUUAAGUCAAAAGGUGAAUUUUUUUGACUUAAUAAGGAAGGGAAAAAAUUGUAAGCUGAGAUUGCCAGGAUCUGUGGCAAGAACGAAACUUGUGUUUGUGAAAUUCUGACGAAGGACAAAGAAAUUUAGGCUGAUUUUUCUCUCGAAUCUCAUACUGCAAAAGUUAUGCCCACAGUCAUGGCCAGUGCUUAGUUCAAGUGGAAAAGGCAUUAAAUUUGUACAUUUUGAGAGAGAGAUCACAUUUCUGUAACUUUUAUUUCAGUGUAUUGUUAUGAUCAUUCUAUUUUAUUAUUAGUUAUUGUUCGUCGCUGCAGUGCCUGAUCUAUACAUUAAGCUUUGUAUGUAGAGGAAGAAACAGUGUGUAUGAAGUACAGUAUUAUCUGCAGUUCCAGGCAUCCACUGGGGAAUUUAGACUGUAUCCCCCAUGGAUAAAGGGGGGACCACUGCACUCAUUUGAUUAGAUUGAAUCCACUUGGAAUCUAGGACAAUUUUAAGAUUAUCUCGAGAUCUGUGACCUCAGUCACAUCCACAAAGUCCCUUCGGCCAUGUACGCAACCUGUUCACAGGUUCUGGGGAUUAGAAUGAGGGCAUCUCUGGGAAGCCUCCAGAGACGAGCAGGGAAACCCCAAAAAUAAGGUAGCGAAUCCUUCAUUUUGAAGGAGUGAAGCAGUCGUAACUGAAGCUUUCAAGCCUGCCCUCACAUAGAGUUCCCACACGUGAAACUUAAGAGCUGAUUUGUCCUGCUGUAUAGCACUGGGAACUAUAUCGAGUCACUUAGGAUGGAACACGA
Long non-coding RNA from Sus scrofa (pig), 5219 nucleotides. RefSeq lists it as uncharacterized. The record is from RefSeq and is a predicted model, not a curated record. NCBI's taxonomy places the organism in Eukaryota, Metazoa, Chordata, Mammalia, Artiodactyla, Suidae.